Molecule: ribosomal RNA, 584 nt
Filed under: uncultured fungus
Lineage: Eukaryota; Fungi
Description: eukaryotic LSU rRNA
Rfam family: 5.8S ribosomal RNA (bases 227-380)
Source: RNAcentral
AGAGGAAGUAAAAGUCGUAACAAGGUCUCCGUAGGUGAACCUGCGGAGGGAUCAUUACAGAGUUCAUGCCCUCCGGGUAGAUCUCCCACCCAUUGCUAUAACUACUCUCGUUGCUUUGGCGGGCCGCCGGGCCCUGCCCGGCCGCCGGCCCCGGCUGGCGCGUGCCCGCCAGAGACCUCACAGACUCUGAAUGUUAGUGUCGUCCGAGUAACUAUACAAUCGUUAAAACUUUCAACAACGGAUCUCUUGGUUCUGGCAUCGAUGAAGAACGCAGCGAAAUGCGAUAAGUAAUGCGAAUUGCAGAAUUCAGUGAGUCAUCGAAUCUUUGAACGCACAUUGCGCCCUGUGGUAUUCCGCAGGGCAUGCCUGUUCGAGCGUCAUUUCAACCCUCAAGCCUCGCUUGGUGUUGGGCCCUGCCCGCCGCGGCCGGCCCUAAAGAUAGUGGCGGCGCCGCCUGGCCCUCAGCGUAGUACAGCUCUCGCUCCAGGGUCCGGCGGCAGCCUGCCAGAACCCCCCAACUCUGUGGUUGACCUCGGAUCAGGUAGGGAUACCCGCUGAACUUAAGCAUAUCAAUAAGCGGAGGA